Cinara cedri is the source of this 1244-nucleotide non-coding RNA. The record is from the annotation of a GenBank genome assembly. NCBI's taxonomy places the organism in Eukaryota, Metazoa, Arthropoda, Insecta, Hemiptera, Aphididae.
UGUCUAUUGGUUUAAAGAAUAUAUUGUUUUUAAUAAUGUUGCUAUCAAAUAAAAAUAGCAUGAGCAUGCUUAGUAAAUCAUUCUGUAUAUAACAAUGUAACAAUUAUACAUUAUGUGUGUAAAUUAAUUUAGUAGAAUGGACAUACUUUGCAUUUGGGUGUAGCCACUAUUGUAGUUGGGAAGGUAGGAUACAGACAGGAAUUUAAUGUAUACCUGUAAGCAACAAUAAACCAAUGCUAUAGAAAAACGAUUCUGAGUGGAGUUCAGUUGAUAAUGUUGCUUUGUCAACAAUUCAAUAUAUAGUAUAUGUCAUAUUAUGAUAAAAUGAUAAAAUAAUGUGUGUUUCCAUGACAACAAUGAUUGUUUAAAAAAGAUAAAAAUAAUAAAACUUAAAAAUAACAAAAAUUAAAUAAAAGUGGUUGCCAAUGGCAGCCUUAUUUUUAAUCUAUCAAUCAUAUUUAACUAUAAGACCAAGGUUUUCCUCAUUAUCUUGAAUAUUAAUGAUAGUUUCAAAAGAUGACCUCUUUAAAGUACCACCCAGAGAACAUUUCCUUUCAGCAAAGAUGCUAUACUUGAUAAUCAAAGUAUGCAUUCUGUUAAAAGAAGUGUACAUCUAAAAUAAUAAUAAAAAAAUAAUAUAUUUCAUUGUAAAACGAAUCCAUUCUUUAUUUCACUCAGAAUUUAAAAUAAAAAGAUGAUGAUAUUUUUUAUUCUGAUAAUAUUAAUGUAAAAAUAAAAAUUUGACCUGGUUUUAUGAUAAAAAUGCAUUUGUUAUAUUAAUUAUUCAACUAUAUUAAAUGGCUGAAUACUGUUUCAAUAACUCACAUAUAGCCUAAGCGCUCAUUUUAUGUAUUUAUUUGUAUUACCUACUUACAGAGUUAGAUUGGCAUUAGCCAGUGAAGCCUUUUCUAUAUAUGGUCCUUUUAGAUUCUGAGUCCUAAUCAAGGAAUGUAUUGACUUUACAAUAUUUUUUUUUCUUUGGUAUAACUACAAAAAUAUGGCUCCAAUUUUCAAGUGUAACACAUUUUCUGAAAGUAAAUUUUCCUGGGAUUGUACUUUAGAAAGUGUAUGCUUUUUUUAUUUUUCUAGUGAUUUCCUUAAUAAUAGGGAAAAAUAUGAAAAUAAUGUUUUUUAUAGCAUAUCUUUAUUUACCUGUUCUAGUUAUUUAUAAAAUACAAAUUCCAUACUACUUAUGUGUUGUACAACACUUACUAUUCAAAAUUAAAUUAUUUAUAGUAGGAUAU